This 408-nucleotide unclassified non-coding RNA is filed under the name Hevea brasiliensis (rubber tree). The record is from RNAcentral. Lineage: Eukaryota; Viridiplantae; Streptophyta; Magnoliopsida; Malpighiales; Euphorbiaceae.
GGCACCUAUUUCUGCCUCCAGGCCGCUGGACUGGGCAAGCCGGUGAGGCUCGGCGUCAUCUGCACAGAAGAAAACAGCCAAUGGGAGAUGGUCGGGGAUUCAAAGAAGACCCACCUAUCGUCCAAGCUCGCCGACGGCACUGCCAUUUGCUUGGACGUCGAACAAGACGGAACAAUCGUCUCUAACCCUUGUAAAAGGCAGGCUAGUGGUGAGGAACGUGAUAACCAGUGGUUCCAUAUGUUAACAGGCCCUUGGAGUGCAGAUGAUGCCGAAAAUGAGGUUUCUCGUGCUGCCAGUGAAUCAAACUAAAAGACCAAUGGAAUGGUCGACAUCAAAUACACCAACAUCCAAGUCAGGGAUUGUAAAACUAAAUAAUGAUGUGGGGAUCUCAACGAUGAACUAGAUUUA